AUUCAGUUGACGAUUCUCAAAUAAGAAGAAACACGCGUCAUGAAU
Molecule: non-coding RNA, 45 nt
Filed under: Schistosoma bovis
Lineage: Eukaryota; Metazoa; Platyhelminthes; Trematoda; Strigeidida; Schistosomatidae
Also listed under: 1 other name
Source: RNAcentral